GACGAACGCUGGCGGCGUGCUUAACACAUGCAAGUCGAACGGUGAAGGGGUCUGCUUUUGUGGGCCCUGGAUGAGUGGCGAACGGGUGAGUAACACGUGAGUAACCUGCCCCCUUCUUCUGGAUAACCGCAUGAAAGUGUGGCUAAUACGGGAUAUUCUGGGUCUGUCGCAUGAUGGGUCUGGGAAAGAUUGCGCCUUUGGGUGUUUUUGGUGGGGGAUGGGCUCGCGGCCUAUCAGCUUGUUGGUGGGGUGAUGGCCUACCAAGGCGGUGACGGGUAGCCGGCCUGAGAGGGUGGACGGUCACACUGGGACUGAGACACGGCCCAGACUCCUACGGGAGGCAGCAGUGGGGAAGAGUGCACAAUGGGCGCAAGCCUGAUGCAGCGACGCCGCGUGAGGGAUGGAGGCCUUCGGGUUGUAAACCUCUUUCGCCAGUGAAGCAGGCCUGCUCCUUGUGGGUGGGUUGACGGUAGCUGGAUAAGAAGCGCCGGCUAACUACGUG
RNAcentral lists this ribosomal RNA (502 nucleotides) under uncultured bacterium. RNAcentral describes it as "partial 16S ribosomal RNA". It matches the Rfam family "Bacterial small subunit ribosomal RNA", at positions 28 to 507 of the family's 1533-position model. The record is from RNAcentral.